RNAcentral lists this ribosomal RNA (478 nucleotides) under uncultured bacterium. Its description in RNAcentral is "partial 16S ribosomal RNA". It matches the Rfam family "Bacterial small subunit ribosomal RNA", at positions 28 to 523 of the family's 1533-position model. The record is from RNAcentral.
GACGAACGCUGGCGGCGUGCUUAACACAUGCAAGUCGAACGGUAAGGCCCUUCGGGGUACACGAGUGGCGAACGGGUGAGUAACACGUGGGUGAUCUACCCUGCACUUCGGGAUAAGCCUGGGAAACUGGGUCUAAUACCGGAUAGGACCACUGCCUGCAUGGGUGGUGGUGGAAAGCUUUUGCGGUGUGGGAUGGGCCCGCGGCCUAUCAGCUUGUUGGUGGGGUGAUGGCCUACCAAGGCGACGACGGGUAGCCGGCCUGAGAGGGUGACCGGCCACACUGGGACUGAGAUACGGCCCGGGCUCCUACGGGAGGCAGCAGUGGGGAAUAUUGCCCCCUGGGCGCAAGCCUGAUGCAGCGACGCCGCGUGAGGGUUCCCUUCCUUCGGGUUGUCAACCUCUUUCCUCCCCGACGAAGCGCAAGUGACGGUAGGUGCAGAAGAAGGACCGGCCAACUACAUGCCAGCCGCCGCCGUAA